GGAGGUAUGACUCAUAUGACAGAGUGCCUGCCUAGUAAGCCUGAAACCCUGAGUUCAAAUCCCAGUACUUCCA
Molecule: transfer RNA, 73 nt
Filed under: Dipodomys ordii (Ord's kangaroo rat)
Lineage: Eukaryota; Metazoa; Chordata; Mammalia; Rodentia; Heteromyidae
Rfam family: tRNA
About the family: Transfer RNA (tRNA) molecules are approximately 80 nucleotides in length. Their secondary structure includes four short double-helical elements and three loops (D, anti-codon, and T loops). Further hydrogen bonds mediate the characteristic L-shaped molecular structure. tRNAs have two regions of fundamental functional importance: the anti-codon, which is responsible for specific mRNA codon recognition, and the 3' end, to which the tRNAs corresponding amino acid is attached (by aminoacyl-tRNA synthetases). tRNAs cope with the degeneracy of the genetic code in two manners: having more than one tRNA (with a specific anti-codon) for a particular amino acid; and 'wobble' base-pairing, i.e. permitting non-standard base-pairing at the 3rd anti-codon position.
Source: Rfam by way of RNAcentral